UUUUAUAUCCGAGACCUAGCUAUAGCUUA
RNAcentral lists this non-coding RNA (29 nucleotides) under Mus musculus (house mouse). Lineage: Eukaryota; Metazoa; Chordata; Mammalia; Rodentia; Muridae. The record is from RNAcentral.